GAUGAAGAACGUAGUGAAAUGCGAUAAGUAAUGUGAAUUGCAGAAUUCCGUGAAUCAUCGAAUCUUUGAACGCACAUUGCGCCCGCCAGUAUUCUGGCGGGCAUGCCUGUCCGAGCGUCAUUUCAACCCUCAAGCCCCCGGGCUUGGUGUUGGAGAUCGGCGAGCCCCCCGGGGCGCGCCGUCUCCCAAAUAUAGUGGCGGUCCCGCUGUAGCUUCCUCUGCGUAGUAGCACACCUCGCACUGGGAAACAGCGUGGCCACGCCGUAAAACCCCCCACUUCUGAAAGGUUGACCUCGGAUCAGGUAGGAAUACCCGCUGAACUUAAGCAUAUCAAUAAGCGGAGGA
RNAcentral lists this unclassified non-coding RNA (345 nucleotides) under soil metagenome. RNAcentral describes it as "partial contains 5.8S ribosomal RNA, internal transcribed spacer 2, and large subunit ribosomal RNA". The stretch from base 1 to 120 matches the Rfam family "5.8S ribosomal RNA", at positions 35 to 154 of the family's 154-position model. The record is from RNAcentral.